This 1432-nucleotide ribosomal RNA is filed under the name Streptomyces phaeochromogenes. RNAcentral describes it as "bacterial SSU rRNA". It matches the Rfam family "Bacterial small subunit ribosomal RNA". Lineage: Bacteria; Bacillati; Actinomycetota; Actinomycetes; Kitasatosporales; Streptomycetaceae. The record is from RNAcentral.
AUGCAAGUCGAACGAUGAAGCCCUUCGGGGUGGAUUAGUGGCGAACGGGUGAGUAACACGUGGGCAAUCUGCCCUUCACUCUGGGACAAGCCCUGGAAACGGGGUCUAAUACCGGAUAAUACCUGCCUGGGCAUCUGGGUGGGUUAAAAGCUCCGGCGGUGAAGGAUGAGCCCGCGGCCUAUCAGCUUGUUGGUGAGGUAGUGGCUCACCAAGGCGACGACGGGUAGCCGGCCUGAGAGGGCGACCGGCCACACUGGGACUGAGACACGGCCCAGACUCCUACGGGAGGCAGCAGUGGGGAAUAUUGCACAAUGGGCGAAAGCCUGAUGCAGCGACGCCGCGUGAGGGAUGACGGCCUUCGGGUUGUAAACCUCUUUCAGCAGGGAAGAAGCGAAAGUGACGGUACCUGCAGAAGAAGCGCCGGCUAACUACGUGCCAGCAGCCGCGGUAAUACGUAGGGCGCAAGCGUUGUCCGGAAUUAUUGGGCGUAAAGAGCUCGUAGGCGGCUUGUCACGUCGGUUGUGAAAGCCCGGGGCUUAACCCCGGGUCUGCAGUCGAUACGGGCAGGCUAGAGUGUGGUAGGGGAGAUCGGAAUUCCUGGUGUAGCGGUGAAAUGCGCAGAUAUCAGGAGGAACACCGGUGGCGAAGGCGGAUCUCUGGGCCAUUACUGACGCUGAGGAGCGAAAGCGUGGGGAGCGAACAGGAUUAGAUACCCUGGUAGUCCACGCCGUAAACGGUGGGAACUAGGUGUUGGCGACAUUCCACGUCGUCGGUGCCGCAGCUAACGCAUUAAGUUCCCCGCCUGGGGAGUACGGCCGCAAGGCUAAAACUCAAAGGAAUUGACGGGGGCCCGCACAAGCAGCGGAGCAUGUGGCUUAAUUCGACGCAACGCGAAGAACCUUACCAAGGCUUGACAUCGCCCGGAAAGCAUCAGAGAUGGUGCCCCCCUUGUGGUCGGGUGACAGGUGGUGCAUGGCUGUCGUCAGCUCGUGUCGUGAGAUGUUGGGUUAAGUCCCGCAACGAGCGCAACCCUUGUUCUGUGUUGCCAGCAUGCCCUUCGGGGUGAUGGGGACUCACAGGAGACUGCCGGGGUCAACUCGGAGGAAGGUGGGGACGACGUCAAGUCAUCAUGCCCCUUAUGUCUUGGGCUGCACACGUGCUACAAUGGCAGGUACAAUGAGCUGCGAUGCCGCGAGGCGGAGCGAAUCUCAAAAAGCCUGUCUCAGUUCGGAUUGGGGUCUGCAACUCGACCCCAUGAAGUCGGAGUUGCUAGUAAUCGCAGAUCAGCAUUGCUGCGGUGAAUACGUUCCCGGGCCUUGUACACACCGCCCGUCACGUCACGAAAGUCGGUAACACCCGAAGCCGGUGGCCCAACCCCCUUGUGGGGAGGGAGCUGUCGAAGGUGGGACUGGCGAUUGGGACGAAGUCGUAA